GAUGAACGCUGGCGGCGUGCCUAAUACAUGCAAGUCGAGCGAACAGACGAGGAGCUUGCUCCUCUGACGUUAGCGGCGGACGGGUGAGUAACACGUGGAUAACCUACCUAUAAGACUGGGAUAACUUCGGGAAACCGGAUCUAAUACCGUAUAAUAUAUUGAACCGCAUGGUUCAAUAGUGAAAGACGGUGUUGCUGUCACUUAUAGAGGGAUCCGCGCCGCAUUAGCUAGUUGGUAAGGUAACGGCUUACCAAGGCAACGAUGCGUAGCCGACCUGAGAGGCGGAUAGCCGACACUGGAACUGAGACGCGGUCCAGACUCCUACGGGAGGCAGCAGUAGGGAAUCUUCCGCAAUGGGCGAAAGCCUGACGGAGCAAGGCCGAGUGAGUGAUGAAGGUCUUCGGAUCGUAAAACUCUGUUAUUAGGGAAGAACAAAUGUGUAAGUAACUAUGCACGUCUUGACGGUACCUAGUCAGAAAGCCACGGCUAACUACGUG
This 497-nucleotide ribosomal RNA is filed under the name uncultured bacterium. RNAcentral describes it as "partial 16S ribosomal RNA". It matches the Rfam family "Bacterial small subunit ribosomal RNA", at positions 28 to 507 of the family's 1533-position model. The record is from RNAcentral.